This 389-nucleotide ribosomal RNA is filed under the name uncultured bacterium. Its description in RNAcentral is "bacterial SSU rRNA". It matches the Rfam family "Bacterial small subunit ribosomal RNA", at positions 30 to 419 of the family's 1533-position model. The record is from RNAcentral.
AUUGAACGCUGGCGGCAUGCCUUACACAUGCAAGUCGAACGGCAGCACGGGAGCAAUCCUGGUGGCGAGUGGCGAACGGGUGAGUAAUAUAUCGGAACGUGCCCAGUCGUGGGGAUAACGUAGCGAAAGCUACGCUAAUACCGCAUACGAUCUAUGGAUGAAAGCGGGGGAUCGCAAGACCUCGCGCGAUUGGAGCGGCCGAUAUCAGAUUAGGUAGUUGGUGAGGUAAAGGCUCACCAAGCCGACGAUCUGUAGCUGGUCUGAGAGGACGACCAGCCACACUGGGACUGAGACACGGCCCAGACUCCUACGGGAGGCAGCAGUGGGGAAUUUUUGGACAAUGGGCGCAAGCCUGAUCCAGCAAUGCCGCGUGCAGGAUGAAGGCCUGG